CCUACGGGCGGCAGCAGUCGAGAAUCAUUCACAAUGGGGGAAACCCUGAUGGUGCGACGCCGCGUGGGGGAAUGAAGGUCUUCGGUUUGUAAACCCCUGUCAUGUGGGAGCAAAUUAAAAAGAUAGUACCACAAGAGGAAGAGACGGCUAACUCUGUGCCAGCAGCCGCGGUAAUACAGAGGUCUCAAGCGUUGUUCGGAAUCACUGGGCGUAAAGCGUGCGUAGGCUGUUUCGUAAGUCGGGUGUGAAAGGCGCGGGCUCAACCCGCGGACGGCACAUGAUACUGCGAGACUAGAGUAAUGGAGGGGGAACCGGAAUUCUCGGUGUAGCAGUGAAAUGCGUAGAUAUCGAGAGGAACACUCGUGGCGAAGGCGGGUUCCUGGACAGUAACUGACGCUGAGGCACGAAGGCCAGGGGAGCGAAAGGGAUUAGAUACCCGGGUAGUC
This 446-nucleotide ribosomal RNA is filed under the name uncultured bacterium. RNAcentral describes it as "partial 16S ribosomal RNA". It matches the Rfam family "Bacterial small subunit ribosomal RNA", at positions 338 to 795 of the family's 1533-position model. The record is from RNAcentral.